RNAcentral lists this unclassified non-coding RNA (589 nucleotides) under Hevea brasiliensis (rubber tree). The record is from RNAcentral. Lineage: Eukaryota; Viridiplantae; Streptophyta; Magnoliopsida; Malpighiales; Euphorbiaceae.
GAGAUUUAGAAUCUACCUUGGAGGGAUAAUAGCUGAGGGACAUGAUAAAGGAAUUCUGGAAGUAAAACCAGCUCCAUAAAAUGUGGUACUCAAAGAUGACACUUACGAAGGAGAGAUAAAAAUCAGACUCAAAUUCAUUACCAAUAAAGAAGUGCAUAUGGAGAAAAGGGCAUUGGUUGCUCGUGUGAAUGAACCUAGACAAUCAUUAUGCAGAUCUAUUAUCAAUCACCUGAAAUCUUCAUGGUCGGGAUUCUGUUUUUAUUGUAAUUGAUUGAUAUCCAAGAAUAAAGCCAAGGGAAAUUAGAAGGAUCAUACAUUUUAGUCACGAAUUCUGAUGAGACGGUAAACUUCAUAACGAAAUCAAUAAGUUAGAUUCUGUCCUUGAGAUUAGGUAAAGGUUUGCUUAUCACAGAAUAGUAUUUAUUGCUCAUGGGUCAUAGCCUUGCCAUGCUGAGAAUUUUAGGUCUAGUAAUGUGAGUAGACAAUAUGGGGUAUACUGUUGACAGGCACUUGGUGGCUCAGACUUGAUGAGACCAACCAGCUAAUGCAUUCUCUUCCUUUUGUACUAGUGGCUUAGAGUGAAGCUUUU